UAUCUUUCAUUUACACCUUGGUUUGAAGCACUUUUUGUAGAAUUUCCUUCCUAGUUCAUGUGAAUUGGUGUCUUGGUGUGUGGUUCACGUUUUUUGCUGCAUGGAGAAGUGAUGGGAAGGUUUUCAAUUGGUUUUUUAAAACAUAUUUUAAUUUCUUUUGAGAUAUGGUGCACAUGGGACAAAAAGACAACACAUUUGGUGGCUUAUUGAAGGUUAAAAAUUGAUUUGGUCUUGGUGGAGAGUAGUGAACGGCCAUGUGCUUUUCUUUGGCCAAUUGGACUUUUAAAUUCCUUUGUUAAUAGUCAUUUAGUCAAGUUAAUUGCUAGGAUUAAGUUAGGCUUGUUGGUUUCUUUGGUUUUUAAUUAAUUGAGUUAACAGGUUGAGUUUAAUGUUUUUGAGUUAGUGUUGAAUUUAAUUAUUUUUAACUGUGUUUGUUAAUUUGUUUGUAGCAGUGUUUGAUGUUUGAAUGUUGUCUAAGGUCUUUAAUAGUGUUAAUUUAAUUUCCAUGGAAAGCUUAAAUUAGUUCGAUUGGUCAUUGACGAUAUUGCACUGUUUCCUUGAGAUUCUUGAAUUUUGAUUGUCUGUGCACUCUGGCUUGGUUAAUGUGAAUUCUAUUUUUGCACUUGCAAUUGGGUAUACGCUUAGUUGCCCAGUUGGUGUUACAUCUUCGCUUAGUCGAUGUAACUGCAUGGUGUAAAUUAGAUUUGACAUUAACACUGCGUCCGCUUAGUUCGCUUUUAUGAAAAUCGGGCUAACCUUCGCUUAGUAGGUUAACUCUGUUGGAUUAGAGGUCUGAGUAGCAACUUUAUUUAGAUAAUCUGUGAUGGGAAACAUUGUAAUUAAGUUAAGGACCAACCGUUUUCAUUAUGUGUUGAAACCGUUUUCUUUAGAUCUGUGUUUACAUCUUUGUUUGUAUUUGUGUCUUUAUUGAGUUCUUUAAUUUUUGCAAAACCUUACCAACCCCCCCCCUUUUCGUGUUAGACUCGAUUCUCGAACUGCAAAAGUGGUCUUUGGGAGAUGACCUAGGGGUCAUUCCCUAGCUAUACUGCAUUUCUCAUAUGCAAUCAAAUUUGUAUGGGCCGCGACACCCAUCAAAUUUUGGCGCCGUUGCCGGGGACCAACGGUUCAAUAUUGAGUCUUUUGUCUGUGUUUGUGUGUCUUGUGACUGUGUUUUCACUUAUUCCCCAGUGCUCCUCUAUUCUUUUUGGUUUGUAGCUUCUCAUCCAUAUUUUAUCCUCCCUUGUCCUUGGCCCCAUUACAUCCACAAAGGACCUUUUGAUUUGAACAUGCAUAUGUGUUUGAGUGUUGAUAUUAGAGGCUUGCCAAGUCUGUUUGUGUUUGCUUUCUUGAGGACAUUGAGUUGAAAUUGUUUACCAUAGACACUUGAGAGAAACACUGAUUGUGUGCAUCUGUGAGGUUUUGUGACUUUUGAUUC
This 1435-nucleotide long non-coding RNA is filed under the name Vigna radiata. RNAcentral describes it as "long non-coding RNA (VRAD_LNC012094)". The record is from RNAcentral. Lineage: Eukaryota; Viridiplantae; Streptophyta; Magnoliopsida; Fabales; Fabaceae.